AUACGGAGGGUGCGAGCGUUAUCCGGAUUUAUUAGGUUUAAAGGGUGUGUGGGCGGGAGCCUAAGUCAGUGGUGAAAUCUCACAGCUUAACUGUGAAACUGCCAUUGAAACUGGGUUUCUUGAGUAUAGUUGAGGUAGGCGGAAUGUGUAAUGUAGCGGUGAAAUGCAUAGAUAUUACACAGAACACCGAUUGCGAAGGCAGCUUACUAAGCUAUUACUGACGCUGAUGCACGAAAGCGUGGGUAGCGAACAGGAUUAGAUACCCGUGUAGUCC
Molecule: ribosomal RNA, 274 nt
Filed under: uncultured bacterium
Lineage: Bacteria
Description: partial 16S ribosomal RNA
Rfam family: Bacterial small subunit ribosomal RNA
Source: RNAcentral